RNAcentral lists this unclassified non-coding RNA (329 nucleotides) under soil metagenome. Its description in RNAcentral is "partial contains 5.8S ribosomal RNA, internal transcribed spacer 2, and large subunit ribosomal RNA". The stretch from base 1 to 120 matches the Rfam family "5.8S ribosomal RNA", at positions 35 to 154 of the family's 154-position model. The record is from RNAcentral.
GAUGAAGAACGCAGCGAAAUGCGAUAAGUAGUGUGAAUUGCACAAUUCAGUGAAUCAUCGAAUCUUUGAACGCACAUUGCGCCCCUUGGUAUCCCGAGGGGCAUGCCUGUUCGAGCGUCAUUUCACCACUCAAGCCUGGCUUGGUGUUGGGCGACGUCCCCUUUGGGGACGCGCCUCGAAACGCUCGGCGGCGUGGCACCGGCUUUAAGCGUAGCAGAAUCUUUCGCUUUGGAAGUCGGGGCCCCGUCUGCCGGAAGACCUACUCGCAAGGUUGACCUCGGAUCAGGCAGGGAUACCCGCUGAACUUAAGCAUAUCAAUAAGCGGAGGA